AUCUGGCUAGUUUGAAUGUAAAACAGGUAGAAUAUUUAGGCCGGAUAUGGCCAUUUUGAAUACUAAAGGGAUAAACUUAAUAAAUGUUUUCGACU
This is a long non-coding RNA of Octopus sinensis (East Asian common octopus), 95 nucleotides long. RefSeq lists it as uncharacterized. The transcript is spliced from 3 exons. The record is from RefSeq and is a predicted model, not a curated record. NCBI's taxonomy places the organism in Eukaryota, Metazoa, Mollusca, Cephalopoda, Octopoda, Octopodidae.